AUACCUUUCUCGGCAUUUUGACUAAGAUCAAAUGUAGUGUCUGUUCUUCUCAGUCCGAUAUGUGGGCCAUCGGCUCACGCGAUAUUAAAUAUAUUUUUUGAGGGUAAGGAUCUAUCGAAGUAGCUUGCUACUUGGGUCUUCAAGCGUCGCCCAUGUGUUGCACUAUUACACGGGCCUGGCGCACCAAAC
This is a small nuclear RNA of Salvia hispanica, 189 nucleotides long. RefSeq annotates it as U2 spliceosomal RNA. The record is from RefSeq and is a predicted model, not a curated record. NCBI's taxonomy places the organism in Eukaryota, Viridiplantae, Streptophyta, Magnoliopsida, Lamiales, Lamiaceae.